AAGUCGUAACAAGGUUUCCGUAGGUGAACCUGCGGAAGGAUCAUUACUGAAUUUUCUAUUUACAUUGUGAACGCCUGUGGUUGCGAGUUUUGGGUUGUUGUUUGGUGGCUUUUGUUUGUUUUGGUCACCGCUAUGCGGUGGUUGGGGCGAAACAGUCACAGAUGAUCCGGCGCGCAGCCACAAAAACAUUGACAUUGUACACCAUGCAGUCUAAUACAACAACAACAACAAUCAAAAACAACUUUUAACAAGGGAUCUCUUGGCUCUC
This 268-nucleotide unclassified non-coding RNA is filed under the name fungal sp. Its description in RNAcentral is "partial internal transcribed spacer region". The stretch from base 1 to 46 matches the Rfam family "Eukaryotic small subunit ribosomal RNA", at positions 1786 to 1831 of the family's 1831-position model. The record is from RNAcentral. Lineage: Eukaryota; Fungi.